CCCUUAGAUGUUCUGGGCCGCACGCGCGCUACACUGAUGCAUUCAACGAGCCUAUCCUUGACCGACAGGUCCGGGUAAUCUUUGAAUCUGCAUCGUGACGGGGAUAGAUUAUUGCAAUUAUUAAUCUUCAACGAGGAAUGCCUAGUAGGCGCAAGUCAUCAGCUUGCGUCGAUUACGUCCCUGCCCUUUGUACACACCGCCCGUCGCACCUACCGAUUGAAUGGUCCGGUGAAAUCUUGGGAUUUUGUUUUGUUUGCAUUUAUUUGUAUCGAGACGAGAGAACUUGAGUAAACCUUACCAUUUAGAGGAAGGUGAAGUCGUAACA
RNAcentral lists this ribosomal RNA (325 nucleotides) under uncultured eukaryote. Its description in RNAcentral is "partial 18S ribosomal RNA". It matches the Rfam family "Eukaryotic small subunit ribosomal RNA", at positions 1470 to 1796 of the family's 1831-position model. The record is from RNAcentral.